Molecule: small RNA, 132 nt
Filed under: Klebsiella pneumoniae
Lineage: Bacteria; Pseudomonadati; Pseudomonadota; Gammaproteobacteria; Enterobacterales; Enterobacteriaceae
Description: RtT sRNA
Rfam family: RtT RNA
About the family: This family represents a bacterial cis-regulatory element known as RtT RNA. The exact function of RtT is unknown although it is thought that it may be involved in changing the cellular response in relation to amino acid starvation.
Source: RNAcentral
UAUUCUGCCCCAUGGGGAAGGAUGAGAAGCUUCGACUAAGGUUCGACUCGAGCGAAGCGAGAGAACGUUGCCGCAGGCAACGGCCCGAAGGGCGAGGCGCUUUAGCGCCGAGUAAUCCUUCCCCCAACACUG